UAAUACGGAGGGUGCAAGCGUUAUCCGGAUUCACUGGGUUUAAAGGGUGCGUAGGUGGGUCUGUAAGUCAGUGGUGAAAUCUCCGAGCUUAACUCGGAAACUGCCGUUGAUACUAUAGGUCUUGAAUCAUCUGGAGGUAAGCGGAAUAUGUCAUGUAGCGGUGAAAUGCUUAGAUAUGACAUAGAACACCAAUUGCGAAGGCAGCUUACUACGGAUGCAUUGACACUGAGGCACGAAAGCGUGGGGAUCAAACAGGAUUAGAUACCCUGGUAGUCCACGCCCUAAACGAUGGAUACUCGACAUUUGCGAUAUACUGUAAGUGUCUGAGCGAAAGCAUUAAGUAUCCCACCUGGGAAGUACGACCGCAAGGUUGAAACUUAAAGGAAUUGACGG
RNAcentral lists this ribosomal RNA (393 nucleotides) under uncultured bacterium. RNAcentral describes it as "bacterial SSU rRNA". It matches the Rfam family "Bacterial small subunit ribosomal RNA", at positions 521 to 916 of the family's 1533-position model. The record is from RNAcentral.